AUUGCACGCUGGCGGCAGGCCUAACACAUGCAAGUCGCACGAGUGGAGGACGGGUGGGUAAUGUCUGGGAAACUGCCCGAUGGAGGGGGAUAAAUACUGGAAACGGUCGCUAAUACCGCAUACCAUCAGAUGUGCCCAGAUGGGAUUAGCUAGUCGGUGGGGUAACGGCUCACCUAGGCGACGAUCCCUAGCUGGGUUGAGAGGAUGACCAGCCACACUGGAACUGAGACACGGUCCAGACUCCUACGGGAGGCAGCAGUGGGGAAUAUUGCACAAUGGGCGCAAGCCUGAUGCAGCCAUGCCGCGUGAAUGAAGAAGGCUUUCGGGUUGUAAAGCACUUUCAGCGGGGAGGCGGUACUCGCAGAAGAAGCACCGGCUAACUACGUGCCAGCAGCCGCGGUAAUUC
RNAcentral lists this ribosomal RNA (406 nucleotides) under uncultured bacterium. RNAcentral describes it as "partial 16S ribosomal RNA". It matches the Rfam family "Bacterial small subunit ribosomal RNA", at positions 30 to 526 of the family's 1533-position model. The record is from RNAcentral.